Molecule: RNA transcript, 3823 nt
Organism: Triticum aestivum (bread wheat)
Lineage: Eukaryota; Viridiplantae; Streptophyta; Magnoliopsida; Poales; Poaceae
Gene name: disease resistance protein RGA5
Exons: 6
Source: RefSeq, a predicted model, not a curated record
CCCUCUCGCCCUUCCCAGUAUACUACAAUUGUUAGGCUUUGGGCAGAGCCACACUGCAGCAACCACUACACGGACAAGCAAGAUGGAGCCUGUGUUCCGAUAGAAAGCAAGAGAGCAAAGAUUGAUUGACCCUGCCGGCUGCGGAGGGCCUCGUUCAGAUCCCCUCUACUGGCACCUUGGGAGGGACGAACCGCAACGCCGUUGUCUUUGGAUCGAGAUCGUAACCUCAUGCCCGGUGCCCAUCAACAACAGAAGAUUUGAUCGUGACACCAUCCCCGGUGACCAUCAGCAAGAGAAGAUUGAGUAAGCCAUGGAUCUGGCCAUGGGGGCCAUGGGCUCCCUCCUCAACAAAUUGAGCGAGGUUAUCAAGGAGGAGUACAAGCUACAGAAGGGCGUCAAGAAAAAGGUCAAGUCCUUCUCUGCCGAGCUGGAUAUUAUGCGCGCUGCCCUUGGCAAGGUGGCAGAGGUGCCGCGAGAUCAGCUCGACGAUCAGAUCAAGCUUUGGGCUGACGAUGUCAGGGAGCUGUCUUACGACAUGGAGGAUGUUGUUGACUCUCUCCUGGUGCGUGUUGAGGGCAGUGACCCCAAUGCUGAUCAGUUCAACUUCAAGAAGCUCAUGGUCAAGAUGGUAAACGUGUUUAAAAAGGGCAAGGCUCGCCGUGAGAUUUCCACAGCAGUCGAAGAGAUCCAUGAGCGGUUGCAAGAUGUGACCAGACGACAUGAAAGGUAUAAUCUUGAUAAUUUACCUGCAGCGAAAAGGACCACCACUGACCCUUUCUGGGAGGUUUUCUAUGGGGAUAAGAAGAAUAUCAUCGGCCUACAGAAAGCAAGGGACGAUAUUAUCAAGAAGAUCAGUGACGGUUAUCCAGUGUCCAACGCGCAUCUCAAGAUACUCUCAGUUGUGGGAUUUGGAGGACUGGGCAAGACCACACUUGCCAGAGAAGUAUAUGAUUCCCUUCCAACAAAAUUUGAUUACAAAGCUUUUGUGUCUGUGUCUCGGAAUCCCGACAUGAAGAAAGUAUUAAGCAAUCUUCUCUUCAAACUUGACAAGGAAAAACACGCUAGUAUGAAUGCAGCAAACUUGGAUGUAGAGCAGCUCAUCAUCCUAGCCCGUGAACUGCUUAGCAAGAAAAGGUACUUUAUAAUUAUCGAUGAUUUAUGGGAUAAAGAAGCAUGGCAAACAAUCAGACUUGUACUCGUGGACAAUGGGUGUGGAAGUAUAAUAAUCACUACCACCCGCCAUGAUGAUGUCUCUAAAAUAUGCUGCUCUUAUAAUGAUGAUAUGAUUCAUAAGAUGGAACCUCUCUCUGACAAUCACUCCCAAAUACUUUUCUAUAGAAGAAUAUUUGGAAGUGAGGUUUGUCCUCCUAGAUUCCACCAAGUAUCCAAAAAGAUCUUAAAGAAAUGUGCUGGGGUACCAUUAGCCAUCAUCAGUUUGGCUAGUUAUUUGGCUAAUAAUGAGAGGACCAACCAAAUUGAUCAAUGGUCUGUUUUGCAAAAAUCUAUUGGCCGUGGACUUAAAAAAGGUGAUGAUCAUGUGAAGAAAAUGAAGAGGAUAUUAUCAUUGAGCUUUUAUGACCUCCCUUCUUAUUUGAAGACUUGCUUUUUAUAUCUAAGUAUCUUUCCAGAAGAUCAUCAAAUUAGCAGAGAUCGGUUGAUAAGAAGAUGGAUUAGUGAAGGAUUUAUCCAAGCAGAAGAUGAAACUGCUAGCCUGCUUGAGCUUGGAGAUAGCUACUUCAACCAGCUAGUAAACAGAAACAUGAUCAUUCCGAUAAACAUGCAUGUUGAUGGUAGGGUUGAAGCUUGUUGUGUACAUGACAUAAUGCUGGAUCUCAUAUGUGAAUUAUCAAGCGAAGUAAACUUUGUUACUGUAUUGGAUGUUAUCAAUGGAGACACAGAUUUGAAAGAGAACUUCCGCAGAUUGUCCAUCCAGAAGAGCAUGACAGAUCUCACCACCACUCAGAUGGGUACCACAAGCAUGUCACAAGUAAGGUCUUUCACGGCUUUUAGUCCUGUUGUUAGUAAGAUCCCCCCUCUCUCUAUAUUUCAAGUUUUACGUGUAUUGGAUCUAGAAGGUUGUGAUCUUCGAAAAAGUCCUGGCAUUUGCCUUAGGCAUGUCGAUAAAUUGUUACAUUUGAGAUAUCUGGGGUUAAGGGGCACAAAGGUUGGCAAGCUCCCUAUGGAAAUAGGAAAGCUACAGUUUUUGCAGACACUAGACUUGCAAUUGACCAAUUCAAAAGAAUUAUCGUCCAGUGUCGUUCAGCUGAGGCAGUUGGUGUGCCUAAUCCUUGAUUCAGGUAUGUCACUACCAAAAGGGUUAUGCAACCUGACAUGCCUUGAACAGCUAAUGGGGCACAAUAUGGGCUUUCAUUCUGAAGAAACCGCAAAAGAGCUGGGCCAUAUGACCAGGCUAAGAGAGCUCUCCUUUAGAUUGGAUGUUGGGGGAAAUGAUGAAGUUAGUAAAGCUUUGAUUGGGUCCAUAGCCAAGCUACACAAACUCGAGCGCCUGGAAAUCUCCGUUAAUGGUAAUUGGCGUGACAUAGUGCACGGUUUGGUGCCGCCUCCAAACCUACGCAGGCUUAGUUCAUACAACCAAUUGCGGCUCAUUCCUGCAUGGAUUUGUUCUUCAUCGCUGCCUCUACUCUCCUACCUUGAUCUAACUGCCAUUGAAGUGCGCUCCGGAGAUAUCCAGAACCUUGGGAUGCUGCCGGCUCUCCGUUAUCUCGCCCUUGACACAGGCAAUAUCAAAGUAGUGGUGGAGAAGCUAGAAGUUAGCGCCGGUGCCUUCCCGGAGGCGAGAGUAUGCCUUUUCCACAGAAUUAUACUGGUGAACCCUACGUUCCAAAAAGGAGCUAUGCCAAUGAUUCAACGCCUUCGCUUCGGUCUCCGAGUGAAUGACAUCCUCAGUCCUGAGUUUGAUUUGAGCAUAAGGAACCUUCCUUCGCUCAAGCAACUCAGAAUUGACCUUUCCAAUAAGGAAGUCAGCCCUGAAGAUUAUUCUCAAGCCAUAGACGCGUUGAGGUGUGUGGCAGAGAGCCAUCCCCAAAGCCCCAUCCUUCGUGCCGAUGAAUACUGACAUGAUAGAGAGGCCGAGUUGAGCCGAGCGAUAAACAAAACCCUAUGUCCAGCUAGCAGGAGGUGGUUCCGUCGGCAUUGACUCUCUAUCCCACAAACCUCUAUCUUCCGUCAGCAUGUUCAACUUAUGUUCCUUCUAUGUCAACGAAAUGAAGUCCUGUGUGCUUUUGCCUGUACAUAUUUAUUUGGUCAAACUGGUUUGUUCAGUGUGUAAUAAGGCUACGUUUGGUGGUGGUGCGCCAGGUUUUUUGUCCCUUAGGUUAUGUUCCCAGCGAAUGUAACUAGAGGGUUUUCCUGGCGUGCAUCCAACUCAGCGGACCUAUUUCCAUUUUCAACUAUUGUGUUGAAUACUGUCUACACUCUUGUAAGUUAAAAUUCUGUGAUCCACUAUUCUGCUCUUGUUUUCCUCUGUUCAGGAACCAUUACGUUUCUAAGGUCCUCUGUUUUACUGCCUGAAAGCUAGCUAGCUCAUGAUGAACUAUCUAUUUUCACUUUCCUUCCAAAUAAGUAGCUCAUGAUGUACUACUUCACUUCUUUCUCAUGUACAGUACUACCGGCUUGUUUGCCCGGCGUGCCUGCUGUCCUCAUGGCUGCUUUAAGACUCUUUACACCUUUCUCAAAAGAGAAAUGUCUAACAGCUCCCAGGUGCCCUUACACCCUCAUGAACAGUAAAUUCAUAAAAAAAAUGAAAAAAAUCAAUAAAGUGCAGCCCUACGCAGUUUGUUUAUUUGGAUGUAUCACCUUUCGU